CAUUAUGAAGCUAUGAUAAGCAUCAACCUUUUAAGUUGAAGACCAGGAGUUAAAUCUCCUCAUAAUGA
This 68-nucleotide transfer RNA is filed under the name Callospermophilus lateralis (golden-mantled ground squirrel). RNAcentral's name for it is "tRNA-Lys". It matches the Rfam family "tRNA". Rfam says of the family: Transfer RNA (tRNA) molecules are approximately 80 nucleotides in length. Lineage: Eukaryota; Metazoa; Chordata; Mammalia; Rodentia; Sciuridae. The record is from RNAcentral.